This 218-nucleotide ribosomal RNA is filed under the name uncultured prokaryote. RNAcentral's name for it is "partial 16S ribosomal RNA". It matches the Rfam family "Bacterial small subunit ribosomal RNA", at positions 524 to 741 of the family's 1533-position model. The record is from RNAcentral.
UACGGAGGAUCCGAGCGUUAUCCGGAUUCACUGGGCGUAAAGCGCAUGUAGGCGGUUGGACAAGUCCUUACUGAAAGCCCCUGGCUCAACUGGGGGAGGCGUGAGGAGACUGUACGACUGGAGGGCAGGAGAGGUCGGUGGAACUCCCGGGGUAGCGGUGGAAUGCGUAGAGAUCGGGAAGAACAUCAGUGGCGAAGGCGACCGACUGGGCUGCACCU